UACGUAGGGUGCAAGCGUUAAUCGGAAUUACUGGGCGUAAAGCGUGCGCAGGCGGUUUUGUAAGUCUGAUGUGAAAUCCCCGGGCUCAACCUGGGAAUUGCAUUGGAGACUGCAAGGCUAGAAUCUGGCAGAGGCGGGUAGAAUUCCACGUGUAGCAGUGAAAUGCGUAGAGAUGUGGAGGAACACCGAUGGCGAAGGCAGCCCCCUGGGUCAAGAUUGACGCUCAUGCACGAAAGCGUGGGGAGCAAACAGG
RNAcentral lists this ribosomal RNA (253 nucleotides) under uncultured bacterium. RNAcentral describes it as "partial 16S ribosomal RNA". It matches the Rfam family "Bacterial small subunit ribosomal RNA", at positions 524 to 776 of the family's 1533-position model. The record is from RNAcentral.